CGCGGGCACUUCCGCUGGGGGAGUGGGAGUUGCUCCUGAAUUUUCUAUGGGAGCGGUGCGUCAGUUCCGCCUCUCCCAGCGCUUCCAAACUUCCUGAAUCUGUGCUUGGAACCUGCAGCGACAGGGCGGCUUAGGGGGGAUAAAAAGCCUGAGCGGAGCACGCAGCUUGUCUCUUGGCGCAGGUGGCACAGCCUUGAGGGCAGAGCAGCCCCUGGUGAGAACCUAAACUAACCCCUCAAGCCGUAAGGGCUGCCCUGCGCCAGCAAGACCCCGUUUGUGAUUGACCCCAAGAUAGUAAUCCAUUUGACCUUCGCUGCCCACCUGCAGUACCCGCCCGCCUUCACCCCACCUUUUGCUUGUAUAAACCUGGACGUAUUUUCAGGCACUUUGAAGACAGUCUUGGAGCCGUUAGUCUGCAGUCUUUUGGCGUUCGCCUUACUGAGAUAAAUUCUUUUCUUAUUCACCUGGACUAGAUUCUCUGCCUUCGGAUUUUGUCAGCAGCGAGGGACCAAAUGGGGUCUGUUUGGGACCUCCCCAAAGCCAGAUGCUCUUGCCCCCUCCUCCCCACCCCGCCCCCGCUCGCCAGCUAUGGCUGUGGAAAUAAAAAUCUCAAAACAGC
Long non-coding RNA from Herpailurus yagouaroundi (jaguarundi), 619 nucleotides. RefSeq lists it as uncharacterized. The record is from RefSeq and is a predicted model, not a curated record. Lineage: Eukaryota; Metazoa; Chordata; Mammalia; Carnivora; Felidae. The transcript is spliced from 2 exons.